Molecule: ribosomal RNA, 225 nt
Filed under: uncultured bacterium
Lineage: Bacteria
Description: partial 16S ribosomal RNA
Rfam family: Bacterial small subunit ribosomal RNA
Source: RNAcentral
GACGAACGCUGGCGGCGGGCUUAACACAUGCAAGUCGAACGAACGCCUUCGGGCGUUAGUGGCGCACGGGUGAGUAACACGUAGGCAAUCUACCCUCGGCUGGGGGAAUAACCAGGGGGAAACCCUGGCUAAUACCGCAUAACAUCUGGACGUCGCCUGGCGACCAGAUCAAAGCUUUAUGUGGCCGAGGAUGAGCCUGCGUCGGAUUAGCUAGUUGGUGGGGUA